Molecule: non-coding RNA, 228 nt
Filed under: Lachnospiraceae bacterium
Lineage: Bacteria; Bacillati; Bacillota; Clostridia; Lachnospirales; Lachnospiraceae
Description: T-box sequence
Rfam family: T-box leader
About the family: Uncharged tRNA acts as the effector for transcription antitermination of genes in the T-box leader family.
Source: RNAcentral
ACAAGAGCGAGGAAGAGGAUUAGUAAAUAUAGGAUAUGCCACAGAGAGAGAAUCGGAUGGUGAGAGAUUCUUGCAGAAGAUGUAUUGAACCUGCCUUGGAGCUUCUGUGUGAAAGCACAGCGUACAUCUGCGUUAAAGAGGACAGAGAGAAUUUUAGCUGGAGAUGGCAGUAGCCGGAGCCGGUUAUGAUUAAUAAGGGUGGUACCGCCGAGCAUUUCGGUCCCUUGC